Molecule: unclassified non-coding RNA, 402 nt
Filed under: soil metagenome
Description: partial contains 5.8S ribosomal RNA, internal transcribed spacer 2, and large subunit ribosomal RNA
Rfam family: 5.8S ribosomal RNA (bases 1-121)
Source: RNAcentral
GAUGAAGAACGCAGCGAAAUGCGAUAAGUAAUGUGAAUUGCAGAAUUCAGUGAAUCAUCGAAUCUUUGAACGCACCUUGCGCCCUUUGGCUAUUCUGAAGGGCAUGCCUGUUUGAGUAUCAUGAACACCUCAACUCUCAUGGUUUGCCAUGAUGAGCUUGGACUUUGGGGGUCUUGCUGGCCUACGGUCAGCUCCUCUCAAAUGAAUCAGCUUGCCAGUGUUUGGUAGAGUCGCAGGUGUGAUAACUAUCUACGCUUGUGGUUUUCUGCCAGAUAACCUUCAGUGAUGGAGGUUAGCUGGAGCUUAUAAAUGUCUCUCCCCAGUGAGGACAGCUUUUUGAACGUUUGAUCUCAAAUCAGGUAGGACUACCCGCUGAACUUAAGCAUAUCAAUAAGCGGAGGA